CCUACGGGAGGCAGCAGUGGGGAAUAUUGCGCAAUGGGCGAAAGCCUGACGCAGCGACGCCGCGUGAGGGAUGAAGGUCUUCGGAGCGUAAACCUCUGUCAGCAGGGAAGAACGGUCACUGUGCUAAUCAGCAGUGAAUUGACGGUACCUGCAAAGGAAGCACCGGCUAACGCCGUGCCAGCCGCCGCGGUAAUACGGAGGGUGCGAGCGUUAAUCGGAAUUACUGGGCGUAAAGCGCUCGUAGGCGGUAUGUCAAGUCAAGGGUGAAAUCCCCGCGCUCAACGUGGGAACUGCCUUUGAAACUGGCAAACUGGAGUGUGUGAGAGGCUAGUGGAAUUCCAGGUGUAGGAGUGAAAUCCGUAGAUAUCUGGAGGAACAUCAGUGGCGAAGGCGACUAUCUGGCACAUAACUGACGCUGAGGAGCGAAAGCGUGGGUAGCAAACAGGAUUAGAUACCCUUGUAGUC
Molecule: ribosomal RNA, 465 nt
Filed under: uncultured bacterium
Lineage: Bacteria
Description: partial 16S ribosomal RNA
Rfam family: Bacterial small subunit ribosomal RNA
Source: RNAcentral